Molecule: long non-coding RNA, 234 nt
Filed under: Gossypium barbadense (sea-island cotton)
Lineage: Eukaryota; Viridiplantae; Streptophyta; Magnoliopsida; Malvales; Malvaceae
Description: long non-coding RNA (GBAR_LNC005308)
Source: RNAcentral
ACAGAUAUAUAAUCAUGGCAUACAUCAUACAGAAUCAGAUCGUCAUGCUUUUCAGUCAAAAUUAACCCUAGGGGUAUAACGGUAAUUUUACACCUAGGGGUAUAAUAGUAAUUUUCCAUACAUAGGGGUAUUAUAGUAAUUUAGCUACUUUUAGCGUUUUCAUGCAUAUCCUAACUAUUUACGUACUAUCAGAACACUUACCGCGCAUACUUACCGAAUUGGGCCCGUUGGCCC